AACAUUCACUUAGGGCAGUAUCAUAGCCAAUGAGGUUAAUCCGAGGUGCAAUUAUUGCUAGUUGAAAACUUUCCUGUUGACUAAGUCUAAGCAGCUCCUCAGUUCAAGUGUGCUUUGUAUUAGUCUUGAUUCACUUAACUCUUACUGUAGG
This 151-nucleotide small nuclear RNA is filed under the name Alligator mississippiensis (American alligator). Its description in RNAcentral is "U4 spliceosomal RNA". The stretch from base 1 to 76 matches the Rfam family "U4 spliceosomal RNA". Rfam says of the family: U4 small nuclear RNA (U4 snRNA) is a component of the major U2-dependent spliceosome. The structure of U4 snRNA from yeast and human has been reported. U4 snRNA presents a k-turn RNA motif in the 5p-SL related to recognition of Snu13 protein. Lineage: Eukaryota; Metazoa; Chordata; Crocodylia; Alligatoridae. The record is from Rfam by way of RNAcentral.